Molecule: ribosomal RNA, 497 nt
Filed under: uncultured bacterium
Lineage: Bacteria
Description: partial 16S ribosomal RNA
Rfam family: Bacterial small subunit ribosomal RNA
Source: RNAcentral
GAUGAACGCUGGCGGCGUGCCUAAUACAUGCAAGUCGAGCGAACAGACGAGGAGCUUGCUCCUCUGACGUUAGCGGCGGACGGGUGAGUAACACGUGGAUAACCUACCUAUAAGACUGGGAUAACUUCGGGAAACCGGAGCUAAUACCGGAUAAUAUAUUGAACCGCAUGGUUCAAUAGUGAAAGACGGUUUUGCUGUCACUUAUAGAUGGAUCCGCGCCGCAUUAGCUAGUUGGUAAGGUAACGGCUUACCAAGGCGACGAUGCGUAGCCGACCUGAGAGAGUGAUAGGCCACACGAGAACUGAGACACGGUCCAGACUCCUACGGGAGGCAGCAGUAGGGAAUCUUCCGCAAUGGGCGAAAGCCUGACGGAGCAACGCCGCGUGAGUGAUGAAGGUCUUCGGAUCGUAAAACUCUGUUAUUAGGGAAGAACAAAUGUGUAAGUAACUAUGCACGUCUUGACGGUACCUAAUCAGAAAGCCACGGCUAACUACGUG